This 11415-nucleotide long non-coding RNA is filed under the name Homo sapiens (human). RNAcentral's name for it is "HSALNT0052644". Lineage: Eukaryota; Metazoa; Chordata; Mammalia; Primates; Hominidae. The record is from RNAcentral.
GGAUAUCUUGGGCAAAUGAAGAUAUAUUGUCACCCAACCUGUAACUGACACAGGACUAAUAUCCAGAAUAUAUAAAGAACUCUUAGGAAAACAAAAUAUUUUUAUUAGCCCUUAACAGAAGAAAAACCCAAAUGGCAAAUAAAUACAUGAAAAUGAACAUACUGUCCACCAGAUUGGCUAAUUGGAGAAGGUAUGCAUAAAUGAGCUCCCAUAUAUUGCUGGUAAAAACCACUAUGGAAAACUUUGGCAUUAGUUAGUGCAACUGACAAUAUACAUAUUCCUAUAUCCAGCCAUUCUAAAUCUUAAACAUAAAUAGACAAGUUGACAGCAGUAUAUUCAUAAAAAGAAAUACAAGGAGAAAAGAUACCUUUAUAUGGAAAAAACAUUGGUAAAAACAUUAAAGAAUCAGACAAAAGGAUAUGUAACAUACGUUUCUGUUUAUAGUUCCCAAACAGGCAAGAUUAUUAUAUUUUGUUUAGGGAUGUAUACAUAACUGUUAAAGUAUAAAGCAAAGCAAAGACAUCAUUGCCCACAAAGUUAAAAUAAUGGUCAGCUUUGGGAAGGGAGGGCGAGGGAUAUCAGUGAUUUGGUAAGCAGGGAACUUACUAAGUUUUACAAAUGUUCUGUUUUUUGAGUUGCAUUAUGAUUACAUGUGUCUGUUGUAAAAUAACUUGUUAUGCUGUACAUUUUAUUUUUGCACUGUGCUUGGACUAUACAGCAGCAAGAAGAAUAGGCAGCUACAUGUCUUCAUUCCCCAUGGAAAGAUUACAAGUAGAGACUGACUAAAGAAAACUUUAUGGGAACUCUGAAAGGCAAAGGUCUACAAGAACCAAGCUAAUGCCCAAUCAAGGAAAAGUCACAUUCAAAAUGGUAAGAAAUUUUGUGGUAGUUUUACUCAGGAAGACUCUUUGGAAAAGUAAAAAAUUUAAAAGCGUGGUGUAACAGAAUAAAAACAAAUACACACAGGGCCUCAGGCAAGACCCUUACCAAGCAAAGUCCUGGAGGGUCUUUGGGGCUUCAUCGUGGGAUGAUGCUAAAGGUCAGAACACAUCUUACUAGUGAGUGGAGGUCCCUCCUGGCAUGGAGCCAGUCUGCAAAGACUGGGAAACUUGGCUGUUUUUCAGAUGUCCAGUUUUCAACAAAAGAUCACAAGGCAUACAAAGAACAAAACAUGGUCUAUUCAUAGGAAAAAAUGUGCAGAAACUGUCCCUUAACCUAAAGCAUCAGAUGUACUAAAGACUUCAAAAUACACUCAAAGAACUAAAGGAGAACACAGAAAAACCAAACAAAAUUGGAAAUCAACUAAGAAAUUAUUUUAAGCACCAAAUUCCAACAGGCACUUCAGGACAGCUGACUAGAAGCAUUUAGUAGUUGCCGCCUCCACCAAGAAGAACCACAGUGGUGAGUAGAUAAUCACACUUCAAAUAGAUCAUCCAAGAGAGAAUACUGGAAGUCAACAGCAAAGGGAUAGGAAAUACUUAAGAAGGAAGUGGGAACGCCUGCCUGUCCAGGAAUGUCUAGCAGUCAAAAGGGACUCCCCAGUACAGGGAAAAGGUAAGUGACAGACCAUCAGCAGUCCACAUUUCUACCAUGGACUCCUGCAACCCUACCAUGGGAGAGCCCCUUGAUCGUCACAGGCCCUGAAAUUAACAUAGGGAGCUGCCAGGAGAUUAUACUAUGGCACUGCUUCAGGGAGGAAGCUCACACUGGGUUUCACACACACCUUAAGACGUAAGCAGCUAAAGCAAGGCACUGUCUUAGAGCCUCCCAACAGUAGACCAUGUAUGUUCUGGAACCCAGCAAUGCCAGGGCUUGAGGCACAAGAGAAGUAUGGCUGCUGCUUCUAGGGUUUAGGCAUGAGCAACCUUGGGCAGUCAUACCAGGUCUGAGGCAUGGGUGAGGCACAGGCUACCCCAGCAUAAGCUAUUGCAUGAGUGAUACACGUGUUCCCCAUCUGCUGGCCUAGGCUGCCCACCACUGAAGGCUGCUGCCACCUACCACCAAAGCAUUCCACAGGUGGCUGGCAAGCAUACUCCUGCCUACCAUGGUUGGCACCUGAACUCACCACCAGGCAGCCUGAAGACAAGCCCACCUGGCCUGGCUUCACCUCCCCCUGACCCUGUGCCACAGCGUCACAGUACACAAUCCAAGGACCAAAGGAUUGCUUAGUACACUCCACCCCCAUUGGCACCUGAACACUCCUGCAAGGGGCCUGAGGUUGGGCCUACCCACCAGGCCACUACCAGCACUGAUGCACACCACUUGGACCCAGAUUGUUGUCCUACCACUAUUCCCGUCAUUGCCCAUGCCAUGCCAGCCACCCAGGGGACCAAGAACCUGCCUGACUGACUCAUUGCUGCCACUAUUAGCGCUUGAGUAAGCCACCUGGAGGCCCAAGAAUUAGCCUGCAUGGACCCACUAACACCAGUGCCAGCUUCCCUUGCCUUGAGCCAAGUGCAGACACAGCCCACUGUUGCCAGUAAUGGAGCCAAAAGACUAACCAACAUGGCAUACCAGGCCCCAGCAAAACAUCACCAAAGCCUCCACUAAUAACCUCACUCUAAGCCACCAAGGAAAUCACAGAUACCAUUGACUCCAUUUACUACUGAAUAAAUGAUACAGUAUGCUACUGCGUACACCCAGAAUCAAAGGGAAAGUGUCCUACCCAACCAGCAUCAUAGACACACCUUCAGGAAAAAGUCCUCUACAAAAGCAAAGUCAAAAAUUUGGAAGAAGCAACUGUUAUACCGAUGUAUAGAUAUCAACAUAGGAACAAAGAAAACAUGAAAAGUCAAGGAAAUUUGACAGCUCUAAAGGAACACUAAUUCUGCAAUAACAGAUUCCAAUCAAAAAUUCAUAAAAUCCAGGGGAAAAACUGAUUCUAAAGCAGCUCAGUGAGAUACACAAAAACUCUUAAAAAAAAAAAACCAAAAAUGUAAAGAUAUGAAUGAGAAAUUUACCACACAGAUCGAUGAUAUCAUAAAAAAGAAAAAAGCCAAUUCUGGAAUACAAGAAUUCAUUGGAUGAAAUACAAAAUACAUCCAAAAUCUUAAACAACCAAUUAGGUCAAGCAGAAGAAAUAAUCUCAGAACUUGAAGACAAGUCUUUUGAAAUAACUCAGGCAAAAAUAGAAAAUAAAAAGUAAUGAGCAAAAACUUCAUGACAUAUGGGACAACACAAAGCAAUGAAAUACUUGAAUUAUCAGGGUCCCAGAAGGCAAAGAGGGGAGAACUUUUCUAGUCUAGCAAGAGAUUUAGAUAUCCAGAUACAGGAGAUUCAGAGAUCCCUAAACAGAUAACAGUGCAAAAAGGUCCUCUCCAUAGCACAUUAUAGUCAAACUCAAAAGUCAAAGACAAGGAGAGAAUUCUAAAAACAAGAGAAAAGUGUCUAGUACCUAUAAAGGAACUCCCAUCAGAAUAACAGCAGACUUCUCAGCAGAAAUGUUACAUGCCAAGAGAGAAUAGGAUGAUGAUAUAUUCAAAAUGCUGACAGAAAAAAAAAAGCCCUGACAGCCAAAGAUACUAUAUCCAGAAAAAUUAUCCUUGCUAAAUAAAGGAAAAAUAAAAUAUUUCCUAGACAAGCAAAAGCUGAGAGAAUCACCACUACACCAGCCUUACAGAAAGGCUCAAGAGAAUCUUAAACGUGGAAGGGAACAGAUGCCAUUUACCAUCAUGAAAACAGGAAAGUAAAAAACUCACUGGAAAAGCAAAUGCACAAGUGAAAAGAACAAACUCACAUGGUACCACUACAGAAAACCACCAAACCACAAUUACAAUAAGAGAAAAAGAACAGGCCAGGCACAGUGGCUCAUGCCUGUAAUCCCAGUACUUUGGGAGGCCGAGGGGGGGAUCACAAGGUCAGGAGAUCAAGCCCAUCCUGGCUAACAUGGUGAAACCCCGUCUCUACUAAAAAUGCAAUAAAUUAGCCGGGCAUGGUGGUGGGCACCCAUAGCCCCAGCUACUGGGGAGGCUGAGGCAGGAGUAUGGCAAGAACCUGGGAGGCAGAGCUUGCAGUGAGCCGAGAUCGCACCACUGCACUCCAGCCUGGGUGACAGAGCAAGACUCUGUCUCUAAAAACAAAAACAAAAACAAAAAAAAAACAAAAAAAGAAUAUACAAAACAACCUAAAAACAACAGUAUGACAGAAACAAAACCUGACAUACUAGUAAUAACCUUAAAUGUAAAUCAGUUAAAUAUUGCAUUUAAAAGAUAUAGACUGCCUGAUGGGUAAAAAAACAUAACCCAACUGUAUGCUAACUACAAGAAAUGCACUUUACCUAUAGAAUUACAACAAAGAGAAGGGAAAACAUACUCCAUGCAAAGAGACAGACUCCAAUACAAUAAUAGUGGGGUGCUUCAACACCCUACUCUUAAGCAUUAGAUCAUCUAGACAAAAAAAAACAGCCAACAAAGAAACAUUGGAUUUAAACUGACCUUUGGAUCAAAUGGGCCUAACAUUAACACAGAACAUUUUAUCAAACAUUUGCAGAAUACACAUUCUUCUUUUUAGCACACAGAACAUUCUCCAAGAUAGACCAUAUUUUAGGCCAAAAAAAUAAGCCUCAACAAAUUUAAAGUAUCUUUUCAGACCACAAUGGGACAAUACUAGAACAUAAUGCUAAGAGGAAUUUUGAAAACUAUACACACAUAUAGAAAUUAAAUAACAUGAUCCUGAACAACCUAAUUAGGUCAAUGAAGAAGAAAUAAAAACAUUUAUUGAAACAAAUGAAAGUGGAAAUACAACAUCUUCAAACCUGUGGGAUACAGGAAAAGCAGUACUAAAAGGGAAAUUUAUAGCAAUAAAUGCCUGCUGCAAAAAAGAUUUCAACUAAAAACUCUAAUGAUGCACUUCAAGGAACUAGAAAAACAAAAACAAACCUAAUUGAAAAUUAGCAGAAAUAGGCCAGGAAUGAUGGCUCACGCCUGUAAUCCCAGCACUUCGGGAGGCCAAGGCAGGUGGAUCACGAGGUCAGGAGUUUGAGACCAGCCUGGCCAAGAUGGUGAAACCCAGUCUCUACUAAAAAUACAAAAUUUAGCCGGGUCUGGUGGCGGCUGCCUGUAAUCCCAGCUAGUCAGGAGGCUGAGGCAGGAGAACUGCUUGAACCCAGGAGGCAGAGGUUGCAGUGAGCUGAGAUCGCACCACUGCACUCCAGCCUGGGUGACAGACCAAGAGUCAGUCUCAGAAAAAAAAAAUUACCAGAAAUAAAGAUCAGAGGCGAAGUAAAUGAAGUAGAAAGUUAGAAAAUAACAAAGAAUCAAUGAAAUGAAGUUGGUUCUUCAAAAAAAAAACAAAACUGAUAAACUUAGCUAGAGUAAGAGAGAAGACCCAAAUAAAAUUAGAAAUGACGAAAGAGAUAUUACAACUAAUACCACAGAAAUACAAAACUUCCCAGACACUUAUAUGAACAAUAUGCUAACAAACUGGAAAAAUCUAGAGGAAAUGGAUAAAUUCCUGGACACAUACAACCUAACAAGAUUGAAACAGGAUGAAAUCAAAAACCGGAAGAGACCAAUAACAGGUAAUGAGAUGGAAGCAGUAAUAAAGUCUUCUGACAAUGCCCAGCACUGGAUGGAUUCACUGCCGAAUUCUACGAAACAUAAAAAAGAACUAAUACCAUAGCUGCAUGUGCUGGCAUGCUUGUAAUCACAGCUACUCUGGAGGCAAUCCCAACUACUCAGGAGAUUGAGGUAGGAGGACUGCUUGAGCCCAUGAGUUUGAGACUAGCGUGGGCAACACAGUGAAACCCCAUCUCAAAAAACAAAAACAAAAGUAAUACCAGUCUUUCUCAAACUAUUCCAGAAGAUUAAAGCAUCAGGGAUUCUUCCUAACUCAUUCUAUAAGGCCAGCAUUACCCUGAUUUCAAAAAGAGAUAAGGACAUAACAGCAACAACAACAAAAAAAUUGACAGGCCAGUGUCCCUGAUGACUCUAGAUGCAAAACUGAACAAAAUACUAGCAAAGUGAAUUCAAGAACACAUCAAAAAGAUAACACACCAUAAUCAAGUGGGAUUUACCUCAGGGAUGCAAGGAUGGUUCAACAUACACAAAUCAAUAAAAGUGAUACAUCACAUCAACAGAAUGAAGGACCAAAAGCAUAGGAUCAUCUCAAUAGACACAGAAAAAGCAUGUGAUAAAUUUCAAGAUCUCUUCAUGACUAAAGACUCAACAAACUAGGUAUAGAAGGAACAUGUCAAAAUAAGAAAGGCCAUAUAUGAAAAACCCAUAGCUAACAUCAUACUAAUGGAAAAGUGUUAAAGGCCUUUCCUCUAAGAAAUGGAACAAGACAAAGAUACCCAUUUUCACUACUCCUAUUCAACAUAGUACUGGAUGUACUAGCCAGAGCAAUCAGGUAAGAGAAGAAAAUAAAAGACAUCCAAAUUGGAAAAGAGGAAGCCAAACUGUCCCACUUGGCAUAUGACACAAUCUUAUAUUUAGAAAAUGAAAAGAAUCAACCAGAAAACUAUUACAGCUGAUAAGCAAAUUGAGUAAAGUUGCAAGAUAAAAAAGCAACAUACAAAAGUCAGUGACAUUUGCCUACACUGAUAAUGAAAUAGCCAAAAAGGAAAUCAAGAAAGCAAUUCCAUUUACAAUAGCUACAAAAAUAAUAAAAUACAUAGGAAUAUAUUUAACAAAGGAGGUGAAAAAUCUCUACAAAACACUGAUGAAUGAAGUUGAGGAGGACAAAACAAAUGGAAAGACAUUUCAUGCUCACGGAUCAGAAGAAGAAUGUUAAAGUGAGCAUGCUUCCCAAAGCAAUAUACAGAUUAAAUGCAAUCCCUAUCAAAAUACCAGUCAUUUUUUACAGAAAUAGAAAAAAAAAAUCCUAAGAUUCAUAUAGAACCAAUAAAGAGCUAGAAUAGCCAAAGCAAUCCUGACCAAAAAGAACAAAGGUGGAGACAUCACACUACCUAACUUCAAAUUAUAUUACAAGGGUAUAGUAUCCAAAACAUCAUGGUAUUGGCAUGAAAAUAGACACAUAAACCAACGGAACAGAACAGAAAACACAGAAUAAAUCCAUGUAUUUACAACCAGCUGAAAUCCUAGCACUUUGGGAGGCCAAGGUGGGCUGACUGCUUGAGUCCAGGAGUCUGAGACCAGCCUGGGAAACAUGGCAAAACCAUGUCUUUACAAAAAAUAGAAAUCAGCUGAGCAUGGUGGUGCAUGCCUGUCAUCCCAGCUACUGAGGAGACUGAGAGGUAGGAGGAGCACUUGAGGCUGGGAGGUCAAGGCUGCAGUGAGCUGUCAUCACACCACUGCACUCUAGCUUGGGUGAAAGAUUUUUUUUGCCUUAGUCUAGGGAAGACUUUAUGUCUAAAACCUCCAGUGCACAGACAACAAAAACAAAUGGACAUACCUGGUUAUUCCUUCCAGUAACAUAAAAAAUAGACAAAUGGGACUCUAUUAAACUGAAAUCUGCACUGUAAAAGAAACAGUGAAGACACAAACCUGUUGAAUAGGAGAAUAUAUUUGCAAACAUCCUCUGACAAAGGACUAACAGGCUACAUAAGGAACACAACAAUUUGUGAAAACACCAUUAAAAAGUGGGCAAAGAACUGAAUAGAUAGUUCUCAAAAGAAGACAUACAAAUGGCCAAUAAGUACAUUAAAAAGGCUCAACAUCAUCAGUCAUCAGGGAAAUGCAAACCAAAAUCACAGUGAGAUAUCUUAUCUCAGAAUGGCUAAUCAUUAAAAGACAGAUGCUGGCAAGAAGGCAGAGAAGAGGCAACUCUUACCCACUCUUGGUGGGAAUGUAAAUUAGUAUAGUCACUAUGGAAAACAGUAUGGAGAUCUCUCAAAAAACUAAAAUUAGAACUACCACACUAUCCAGCAAACCCAUUACUGGAUAUCUAUCCAAAAGGAAGGAAAUCAGUCUACCAAAAGGAUACCCUCAUUUACAUGUAUAUUGCAGCACUAUUCACAAUAGCAAAGAUAUGGAAUCAACCUAAGUGUCCAUCGAUACAUGAAUGGAUAAAGAAAAUGUGGUAUAUAUACACAAUGGAAUACUAUUUGGCCAUUAAUAAUGAAAUCAUGUCAUUUGCAACAACAUGGAUGGAACUGGAGGUCAUUAUGUUAAGUAAAAUAACACGGGCACAGAAAGACAAAUACAACAUGUUCUCAGUUGUGUAGGACCUAAAAACUUGAUAUCAUGGAGAUAGAGAAUAGAAUACCAGAGGUGGGGAGUGUGUGACUGGGAAAUGAAGAGGCUGGUGAAUGGGUACAGACUUAGAUAGAAUACAUCCUAAUGUUCACUAUUAGAGUAGGAUGAUUAUAGUUAGCAACAAUAUAUUGUAUAUUUCAAAAUAACUAGAAGCGAGGAUUUGAAAUAUUCCCAACACAUAGAAAUGAAAAAUAACCUGACAGAUACUCAUAUUACACGUGUAAUAUGUGUAAUACUCAUGAGUAUUACACAUAUUACAUAUUCUAUGUAUGUGCUCCAUAAAUAUGUAAAACAUUGUGUCAAUAAGAAAAAUAAACCAGAUUUCAUCACUGAAAAAAAUCACAAUUGAAAAAUUGACAAGAGACAUUUAACAGACUCAGAAUCAUAAACCUAGUCACUGGAAAUUGAUUCUGAGAAGCAAAAAAGAGAAAGGGAUAAAGAAAUGUGAACAGAACCUAAGGGACACCAUCAAGCAAACCAACAUAUGCAUUAAAGGAGUUCCAGGAGGAACAAAGACAGGCAGCAUGAUGGAGGAGACAAGGGCAGAAAACAUCAAAUUUGAAGAAAGACAUGAAUCUACAAAUCCAAGAAUUUCAUUAAAUUCCAAGUAGGAUAAACUGAAAGGGACCUGCACUAACACAUUAUAAUCAAACUGUUAAAGCCAAAGAGAGAAUCUUGAAAGCAGCAAGAGAUAUGACUUGUCACAUAUAAGCAAUCCUUAAUAAAAUUAUCAUCAGAUUUCUCAGCAGAUACCUGGGUAGCCAGGAGGCUGUGCCAUGAUAUAUUUAAAGUGCUGAAAGAAAAGUCUCAGCAAAGAGUUCCAUAUCUGACAAAACGGUCCUUCAAAAAUGACCGAAAUUAAGACAUUCUCCCAAAUGUCUUAAUUAUUUCGGGAGACAUGUCUCCCAAAAUUAAGACAUUCUCAGAGAAAGCAGCAGCUGGGGGCGAGUUCAUUACUACUAGACCUGCCCUUCAAGAAAUUCUGAAGGGAAUCCUAAAAUUUAAAAUGGAAUGCUUCAGAUAGUAACUGUAAGCCAUACAAAAAUAUGGAGAUCUAUAGUAAAAGUAAAUACAUGGACAAAUUGGUUGGUAUAAAUAUAACAGACUAUUGCAACUUUAGGCUGCUAAUGUAAUCUCUGUGUUAACCACAGAGAAAACAGUCCUAGAAUACAGAUCAAGGAAAUGAGAAUUAAUUACAAGAGAAAAAAAAUGGCUCAACACAAAAGGCAGUAAUGGAGGAAAUGAGGGGCAUGACACAUACAGAAAACAACGAAAUUACAAAGUCGGUCCUUCCCUACCAGUAAUUUCUUUUUUUAUUUUUUGAGAUAGAGUCUUGCUCUGUCACCCAGGCUGGAGUGCAGUGGUGCAAUCUCAGCUCACUAUACCCUUUCGCCUCCCAGGUUCAGGCAAUUCUCUGCCUCAGCCUCCCAAGUAGCUGGAAUUACAGGCAUGCACCACCACACCCAGCUAAUCUAUGUAUUUUAGUAGAGAUGACAUUUCGCCAUGUUGGCCAGGCUGGUCUUGAACUCCUGGCCUCAAGUGAUCUGCCUGCCUCAGCCUCCCAAAAUGCUGGGAUUACGAGUGUGAGCCAUUGCACCCCGCCCAGUAAUUUCUUGAAAUGUAAAUGAAUGGAACUCCAAUUGAUAGACACAUUUACAGAAUGGAUUUUUUAAAAAGAUUACAACUAUGUGCUGUCUACAAGAGACUCAUAUUUAGAUGGAAGGAGAUGCAUACGUUCAAUGUUAAAGGAUGGAAAAAACAGUAAUCACAGAGAAGUGGCUAUGCUAGUAUUAGACAAAAUAAGUCAAGCACUGUUUCAAGAGAAAAGGACAUUAUAUAUUGAUAAAAGGAUUAACUUACCAAGAAGAUAGAACAAUUAUAAGCAUCAUGCAUCAAAUAUCAGGGCUUCAAUAUAUAUAAAGCAAGCAUUGACAGACUUGAAGGGAGAAAUACUGUUCUACAAUAACAGUAAGAGAGUUUCAUACGCCACUUUUAAUGAUGGUUAAAACAACCUGACAGGAUCAAUAAGGAAACAGAGGAUUUGAACAAUGUGAUAGGCCAAAUGGACCUAACGUACAGAUCACCCAACAACCAGAGAAUGUAUACUUUUCUCAAGUGUACAUGGAUUAUUCACCAGAAUAGAUCAUGUUAGGCCACAAAGCAACUCUUAAUACAUUUUAAAGGGCAGAAAUGAUAAAGUAUCUUCUUUAAUCACAAUGCAAUGCAAUUAGAAGGAAAACUGGGAAAUCCAAAUGAACACACUUUUAAGCAACCAAUGUGUCAAAUAAGAAAUCACAAGGCAAACUAUAGAAUAUCUUGUGACAAAUGAUAGUAAAAUCACAAUAUGACAAAACUUACAGGAUGCCAUGAAAGCACUGCUGAAAAAGAAAUACAUAUUAAUAGCUGUAAACACAUUUAAGAAGAUCUCACAUCAACAACCUAAUUUUACAACGUAAAGAACUAAAACUAAACCCAAGGCUAGCUGAAGGAAGGAAAUAAAAAUUAGAGCAGAAAUAAAGAACAGAAACAUACAGAAAAAAAAAUCAACAAAACCAAGAGUUAAUUUGUCAAAAAGAUCAACAAAAUUGACAAACCUUUAGCUAGAUUGACAAAGAAAAAAAAAUAACUAAAAUUAGAGAUGAAAGUGAAGACAUUACUACCAGUUCUACAAAAAUAAAAAGGAUCCUAAGAAUACCAUGAACAAUUGUAUGCCAACAAAUUGAAUAACCUAGACGAAAGGGACAAACUCCUAGAAACACACAACCUACCAGGAUUGAAUAAUAGAGAAACAGAAAAUCUAAUUCAUCUUAUGAGGCCAGCAUGCUCCGGUACCAAAGCCAGAAAAGACACAAGACAACUACAGAUCAACAACCAUUAUGAAUGAAUAUUGAUUCAAACAUCUUCAGUGUAAUACUAGCAAAGCAAAUUCAACAGCAUAUUUAAAGGAUUAUUCACCAUGAGAACAUGGAGUUUACUCUUAGAAUGCAAGGUGGUUCAACAUAUGAAAGUCAGUGCAAUGCACCACACAUUAACAGAAUAGAGGGGGGGAACCACUUGAUCAACUCAUGCAGAAAAAGCAUUCUGACAAGAUACAACACCCUUUUAUAACAAAAACACUCAGCAAAAUAGAAGUAGAAGGAAAGUACCUCAACAUAAUGAAGUCCAUAUAUGAAAAACCCACAACCAAUCUCAUAAUAGUGAAUGGCUGAAACCUUUUCCAGUAAGAUCAAGAACAAACAAGGAUUUUUUUUUUUUUUUU